This 79-nucleotide transfer RNA is filed under the name Felis catus (domestic cat). It matches the Rfam family "tRNA". Rfam says of the family: Transfer RNA (tRNA) molecules are approximately 80 nucleotides in length. Their secondary structure includes four short double-helical elements and three loops (D, anti-codon, and T loops). RNAcentral also lists the same sequence under 1 other name. Lineage: Eukaryota; Metazoa; Chordata; Mammalia; Carnivora; Felidae. The record is from Rfam by way of RNAcentral.
GCCUGGGUGGCCCAGUCAGUUGGGCGUCUGACUUCGGCUCAGGUCAUGAUCUUUGUGGGUUCGAGCCCGGCUUCGGGCU